Molecule: ribosomal RNA, 888 nt
Filed under: Cyclothyriella rubronotata
Lineage: Eukaryota; Fungi; Ascomycota; Dothideomycetes; Pleosporales; Cyclothyriellaceae
Description: LSU rRNA
Rfam family: Eukaryotic large subunit ribosomal RNA
Source: RNAcentral
AUAGGGUAUCGCUUAGUGACGGCGAGUGAAGCGGCAACAGCUCAAAUUUGAAAUCUGGCUCUUUUAGGGUCCGAGUUGUAAUUUGUAGAGGGUGCUUUGGCGUUGGCAGCAGUCUAAGUUCCUUGGAACAGGACGUCACAGAGGGUGAGAAUCCCGUACGUGGCUGCAUGUCUUCGCCGUGUAAAGCCCCUUCGACGAGUCGAGUUGUUUGGGAAUGCAGCUCUAAAUGGGAGGUAAAUUUCUUCUAAAGCUAAAUAUUGGCCAGAGACCGAUAGCGCACAAGUAGAGUGAUCGAAAGAUGAAAAGCACUUUGGAAAGAGAGUCAAAAAGCACGUGAAAUUGUUGAAAGGGAAGCGCUUGCAGCCAGACUUGCCUGUAGUUGCUCACCCGGGCUCUUGCCUGGGGCACUCUUCUACGGGUAGGCCAGCAUCAGUUUGGGCGGCUGGAGAAAGGCCUCUGUCACGUAUCUCCCUCCGGGGUGACCUUAUAGGGGAGGCGUAAUGCAGCCAGCUCAGACUGAGGUCCGCGCAUCUGCUAGGAUGCUGGCGUAAUGGCUGUAAGCGGCCCGUCUUGAAACACGGACCAAGGAGUCUAACAUCUAUGCGAGUGUUUGGGUGUCAAGCCCGAGCGCGUAAUGAAAGUGAACGGAGGUGGGAACCCUUCGGGGCGCACCAUCGACCGAUCCUGAUGUCUUCGGAUGGAUUUGAGUAAGAGCAUAGCUGUUGGGACCCGAAAGAUGGUGAACUAUGCUUGAAUAGGGUGAAGCCAGAGGAAACUCUGGUGGGAAGCUCGCAGCGGUUCUGACGGUGCAAAUCGAUCGUCAAAUUUGGGCAUAGGGGUCGAAAGACUAAUCGAACCUAUCUAGUAGCCUGCGCUCCUGCUCGAAGC